UGGGGAAUAUUGGACAAUGGGCGAAAGCCUGAUCCAGCCAUGCCGCGUGUGUGAAGAAGGUCUUCGGAUUGUAAAGCACUUUAAGUUGGGAGGAAGGGCAUUAACCUAAUACGUUAGUGUUUUGACGUUACCGACAGAAUAAGCACCGGCUAACUCUGUGCCAGCAGCCGCGGUAAUACAGAGGGUGCAAGCGUUAGUCGGAAUUACUGGGCGUAAAGCGCGCGUAGGUGGUUUGUUAAGUUGGAUGUGAAAUCCCCGGGCUCAACCUGGGAACUGCAUUCAAAACUGACUGACUAGAGUAUGGUAGAGGGUGGUGGAAUUUCCUGUGUAGCGGUGAAAUGCGUAGAUAUAGGAAGGAACACCAGUGGCGAAGGCGACCACCUGGACUAAUACUGACACUGAGGUGCGAAAGCGUGGGGAGCAAACA
Molecule: ribosomal RNA, 427 nt
Filed under: uncultured bacterium
Lineage: Bacteria
Description: partial 16S ribosomal RNA
Rfam family: Bacterial small subunit ribosomal RNA
Source: RNAcentral